GAUGAACGCUGGCGGCGUGCCUAAUACAUGCAAGUCGAGCGAACAGACGAGGAGCUUGCUCCUCUGACGUUAGCGGCGGACGGGUGAGUAACACGUGGAUAACCUACCUAUAAGACUGGGAUAACUUCGGGAAACCGGAGCUAAUACCGGAUAAUAUAUUGAACCGCAUGGUUCAAUAGUGAAAGACGGUUUUGCUGUCACUUCUAGAUGGAUCCGCGCCGCAUUAGCUAGUUGGUAAGGUAACGGCUUACCAAGGCAACGAUGCGUAGCCGACCUGAGAGGGUGAUCGGCCACACUGGAACUGAGACACGGUCCAGACUCCUACGGGAGGCAGCAGUAGGGAAUCUUCCGCAAUGGGCGAAAGCUUGACGGAGCGACGCCGCGUGAGUGAUGAAGGUCUUCGGAUCGUAAAACUCUGUUAUUAGGGAAGAACAAAUGUGUAAGUAACUAUGCACGUCUUGACGGUACCUAAUCAGAAAGCCACGGCUAACUACGUG
This 497-nucleotide ribosomal RNA is filed under the name uncultured bacterium. RNAcentral's name for it is "partial 16S ribosomal RNA". It matches the Rfam family "Bacterial small subunit ribosomal RNA", at positions 28 to 507 of the family's 1533-position model. The record is from RNAcentral.